GACAUAGGUGGCGAACGUUAUCCGGAAUUAUUGGGCGUAAAGAGCUCGUAGGCGGUUUGUCGCGUCUGCUGUGAAAACCUAAGGCUCAACCUUGGGCUUGCAGUGGGUACGGGCAGACUAGAGUGCGGUAGGGGUGACUGGAAUUCCUGGUGUAGCGGUGGAAUGCGCAGAUAUCAGGAGGAACACCGAUGGCGAAGGCAGGUCACUGGGCCGCAACUGACGCUGAGGAGCGAAAGCAUGGGGAGCGAACAGG
RNAcentral lists this ribosomal RNA (253 nucleotides) under uncultured bacterium. RNAcentral describes it as "partial 16S ribosomal RNA". It matches the Rfam family "Bacterial small subunit ribosomal RNA", at positions 524 to 776 of the family's 1533-position model. The record is from RNAcentral.